Non-coding RNA from Vicia faba (fava bean), 321 nucleotides. The record is from the annotation of a GenBank genome assembly. NCBI's taxonomy places the organism in Eukaryota, Viridiplantae, Streptophyta, Magnoliopsida, Fabales, Fabaceae.
AUUCAUCCACAAAACCUUGUUUUGACUGUACGAACUUUUCACUACACACUACACACUUUGGUAACUUCCUUACUCUUUCUUCCUUUCCACGUUUUAUUUGCUUUUGCAGUAGCCAUACAAAUAACCAAUUCACUCAUAAACAAAACCCACUUUUCAACUACUUUGUACAUAGACUUAUACUUUUUUUACCAUACAAAAUCACCUCUUUCUAUCUUAAAUCAUAUAUACACUACCUUCACAUCCAUACCAAUCACUAUCAUUCUCAUGACCAUAAUCAUCACCUUUUUCUCACAACAUAAACCAAAUAAAAAUCAGUAUUAA